This 7067-nucleotide long non-coding RNA is filed under the name Theobroma cacao (cacao). Its description in RNAcentral is "long non-coding RNA (TCAC_LNC003589)". Lineage: Eukaryota; Viridiplantae; Streptophyta; Magnoliopsida; Malvales; Malvaceae. The record is from RNAcentral.
GAAACUCAUCUAUUUAUGGCUCUAGCUACCCUUAAUCUUGUACAAUGACAAGCCUUUCUAACCGGUAGCUUGGUUGACCGAUUGCCAACUUCUACUCUUAAGAGAUUUUUCCCAAGGUUUCAAGGAGAAAACUUUGACAGAAACAAGAUCUUAUAUCUGAAAGUAAAGAAGAUGGCUGAGAAGCAUGGAUGUACCACUGCACAACUUGCACUUGCCUGGGUUCUUCAUCAAGGAGAUGAUGUAGUACCUAUUCCUGGUAAGUCCACAUUCUGUAAUUUUCAACAUCCACUUUCCCCUUCUUGAUAGCCCGCAGAUAUUUCAACCAACAAGGCCCUUUCUUUCUCAUUUUGUAGGAACAACAAAGACAAAAAAUCUUGAUGGCAACAUUGAUUCACUGAGGGUGAAGCUCACAGAAGAAGAUUUACAAGAGAUUUGUGAUGUGAUCCCCAUUAAUGAGGUAGGAGGCGCUCGUAUGCCGGAUGGUUUAAGUCAUCUGACGUGGAAGUUUGCUAACACACCACCAAAGGAUAGCAAGAUUUCAACUUAAAUUAAACUGAACGAUGGAUGCAAAAUCUGCAGCAGAAUAUGAUGUUUUUGGUGAAUGGACUCUCUCCAUCAACGGAAACUAUUGAAAGACUAGAAGUUUGUGUUGAUGAGUUAGUAAGCUUUGGAUACAAUAAUAAAGGGUUGUAGUUGGCAUUGUAGCUUUGCCGUUGAAUGCUUAUCAGAGAAAGAAUGCAUUUACUUGUAUUGUUUUUCUGUCUGUGCAUUGUUGGUGGUAAUCCCCAAUGCUUAUAAUUGUCAACGGCAAAGGUUAAGAUGCUGUAUAAGAACUAUGUUUUUAUUUAGUGCUCUAAUAAUAUAAUUCAUCUUGGUCUCAUCUUUUUUCUCAUUUUAACUUAGAUAUCUAUAUAUUUUCGUAAGUGAUUUCUGUAAUAAAUUAAACCCAAAACAUAAACAGGAAAGAUAAAUGUAAAUAAAAAAGGUAAAUUCAAAAAAUAUAUAUACAAUAAAAACAAAAAACAAUUAAAUUUUAUUGACAUGAUUUUUUUUGUAUAUACAACACAAUUGAGAUAAAAUGAACACAACUUUUAUUAUAUAUACGUGACCAAAAAAUCAUGUCAUGACUCAACUUCUCUUAUAUAUAUGGCUCAAUCUAGACUUGUGAUCAACAAAGGACCACAUUAGUAUUUUUAAUAUCUUAGCAUGAUGAUGCAUGUCAUCACAUAAUGAACUUCAUAUCAACAAAUUAUGAUACAUCAAUUUGAUCAAAAUCUCACGUCAAUAUUCUUAACGAUAAAAUUUAAUAGUGUUAAUAUUAAAAAUUUUAAAUUAAUAAAUUAAAAAAGUAUAAUAACUUAAUUUACAUGAAUUAUUAUUCAAGAUUAAAUCCAUAUUGUAUAAUUUUGCAUCUUAGAUUCUUUUUGUUGAAAUGCCAAGUGACAAGCUCCUAUUGAACAAUAACCUUCUACUUCUUGAAACAAAGACGUGAGAAAUGCGUAAUUAAAUGUGUUCCCCAAUGUAGGGAACUUAGGAUUGGGAUAGUUCCAUAUAGCCCUCUUGGUCGCGGUUUCUUUGGUGGCAGGGCGGUUGUGGAGAGUGUGCCUGCAAAUAGUUUUCUGGUAUGGAAACUCAUCAAUUUAUGGCUUUAAUCUACACUCAAUCUUGAUAGCUUGUUUUUCCAUAAAAAAUAAGGGCACCUUUUUGACUGAUUGGCAACUUCUUCUUUAAGAGUAGACAUAUUACCCAAGGUUUCAAGGAGAAAACUUGGACAGAAACAAGAACUUAUAUUUGCAAAUGGAGAAGUUGGCACAAUAUCAUGGAUGUACCCCUGCACAACUAAUUCUUGGCUGGGUUCUUCAUCAAGGGAAUGAUGUAGCACCUAUUCCCGGUUAGUCACAUUCUGUAUGUAUGCUCUUAGAUAGCAGACAAUACAGAUAUUUCAACUACAUCACAUUAGAAUUGACAUAAUUUACAAGUACAUAUCAUAAAUUUGCCUUGUUUGUUAUGUGCAUUAGAAAUAUGACUUUUGACCCUCGGUUACAUGUUCUUGUAGGUACGACCAAGAUCAAAAAUCUUGAUAGCAACAUUGAUUCUCUAACAGUGAAGCUCACAGAAGAAGAUUUAAAGGAGAUCACUGAUGUGGUUCCCAUAAACGAGGUAGCAGGGCCUGGAACGCUGGAUAGUUUUUUUCAGGUCUCAUGGAAAUUCGCUAAUACACCCCCAAAGGAGAAACAAGAUUUUAAGUUAAAGUAAUUAUGGAUGCAAAGCCUGUAGCAAAACAUGAUGCUUUUGGUUAAUGUACUCUCCUGCAACCGAGGCUAUAGAAAGCCUACAAGUUUGUACUGAUUUACUAAGCUUACCUUUAAAAAGGGUUCACUUAUAACCAGGCUACUAGCUGUGCUGUCGAAUGCAUGUGCUUGCUUGGUUUUUCUGUCGUUUCUUAGUUGCCGGCAAUUUUCCAAUGGUUAUUGUAGUUGUUACAACACUGUCUAAGAAGCUAUUUUAAUAAAUAUGCUUUUAUUUAGUGCUAUGAUUUAUUCUUCUUGAUAUUCUUUUUCCUCUCUAUGUAACCUGCUGCAACCAUAAUAACAGAAACCAUUGCAUCUACCGGAAGAAGAAUUUGGCAAAAAAAAAAUAUUUUUUUCAUUGUGACUUCCAUGGUCUGAAGGAAAUAGUAGGAAAUAUAGCAGCUCAUCUUGGCAAUGCAGGGUUAUUUUUUUUAUCUGAUAACAUGACUAUUCUGCAUUUUUGACUAAUUCUUUGCCUUUUGAAAGUAACAGUUCUUGGAACAUAAUUUUCACUGUUUCAACAAAGUAUUCCAAAAGAAUGACAUGUGGGGUGACAUGUUUACUGGCGUCACCAAGUUGAUAGACAAUUCAACUCAAAAUCAAGAUUCUGGAUAUAAGGCUGCUACUAUUUAUGCACAACAAGGACACUUGGCCGUCUAGUAGAUCGUUUAUUAGUUACUGGUUUUUGAGCUGUAAGCUAACAAGAGAAGCCUCAGCUCAAUAACACAACAUAAAAAGGGAACAGAAGAUGGUUGAGGAGCAGAAGAGAAUUCAAAUUCCUAGAAUGAAACUGGGAAAUCAAGGACUUGAGGUUAGAUUUUGUUCUUCUUAAGAGUAGUCAAGAGAAGGGUUGUUAUGAGUUGCAUAUAGAAUGUUUAUGAGGUGAUAAGCCCUGAAUUUUUAUUAAUCUUUACAACCGUUCCUCAGUUUUUGGUUGAACUGCUGAUAUGCAGUAUGUAAGGUACUGGAUAUUCUGAUUCUACUCUCCUAAAAACAUGCUAGGACUCAACUUUUUAAACUCAAUCAGAAUUUAACUUUCCAUCAAGUUCACACGAUUUCUUUCCCAGAACACUAUUUUCUAACACUCUCGUUUCUGAGAAUCCACUGUUUAUGUAGGUUUCCAAGUUGGGGUUUGGCUGCGCGGAACUUUCUGUUGUAGCCUACGGUGAUCCUCUCCCUGAUGAUGUUGGCAUAUCGAUCAUCAAGCAUGCUUUUGAUAGAGGAAUCACUUUCUUCGAUACAUCAGAUAGCUAUGGACCCAAAACUAAUGAAAUACUGGUUGGAAAGGUAACAUGCUUGGUCAAAUUGUCUAAAGUACUUUCAAGUUGAAUUGCAACAGCUUCCUGAUUUUGCUUUUAAAUGGGAAUCCAAACCCUUAAAUAAAUGCAUUUUUGUUUUAUCACAUUGAUAUGAUUCUAAUUGUUACUGCUCUUGAGUUGUUAACGAAAUUCAUGAAUCUCUGAAGCCAAUAUUUCUUUUCUCCAGGCAUUGAAGCAGCUACCGCGAGAGAAGGUGCAGUUAGCCACAAAAUUUGGUAUUGCAAAAAGGGAUGCUACUGGUGUCAUUGUAAAUGGUACUCCUGAAUAUGUCCGCACCUCUGUUGAGGCUAGCCUGAAGCGCCUUGAUGUGGAAUACAUUGAUCUCUACUAUCAGCACAGGGUCGACACCACCACUCCUAUAGAGGAUACUGUAAGAGCUGGAGCAGAAAGCAUCAAAGAUUUAUUUCUUCCAUAGAUUUCCUUAUUUCCAUACUCUCUUAUUAAUUGCGGGGCUAUCAUCUUUAGCUGGUUGAACUUAAGGUUAAGCUAUUUGGAUUUAACUUUCUUUCUUAGAUGGGUGAACUCAAGAAGUUGGUGGAAGAAGGGAAAAUAAAGUACAUUGGUUUAUCUGAAGCUAGCCCCGAAACUAUAAAGAGAGCACAUGCGGCUCAUCCCAUAACUGCUGUACAAAUGGAGUGGUCGCUCUGGACUCGUGACAUUGAGGAAGAAAUAGUCCCCCUUUGCAGGUUUCUUCUUGUAUCUUGAAGCAUUAGAACUAAAAAAACAGUAAAAGUUACUUGAAAUUCAAAGUUCGAACUCUUAACUUGAUAGUCAUUUUCAUUUCCCAAAUUAUACGUUGUUUGAGUACUGGUCUUGAGACUCACCUAUGCAAUCCAAGGCAUGAGAUAUGCCUAUUUAAAUGUCUUCAUUUAUGCAGGCAACUCGGAAUUGGGAUUGUUCCAUACAGCCCUCUUGGUCGUGGUUUCUUUGGUGGCAAAGCAGUUGAUGAAAGUGUGCCUGCAGAUAGUUUUCUGGUAUGGGAACACAUCUAUUAAUGGCUUUAACCUAUCUUUAAUCUUGUAUAAAGACAAGCCUUUCUAACCGGUAGCUUGGUUGACCGAUUGCCAACUUCUACUUUUAAGAGAUUGUUCCCAAGGUUUCAAGGAGAAAACUUUGACAGAAACAAGAUCUUAUAUCUGAAAGUAAAGAAGAUGGCUGAGAAGCAUGGAUGUACCACUGCACAACUUGCACUUGCCUGGGUUCUUCAUCAAGGAAAUGAUGUAGUACCUAUUCCUGGUAAGUCCACAUUCUGUAAUUUUCAACAUCCACUUUCCCCUUCUUGAUAGCCCGCAGAUAUUUCAACCAACAAGGCCCUUUCUUUCUCAUUUUGUAGGAACAACAAAGACAAAAAAUCUUGAUGGCAACAUUGAUUCACUGAGGGUGAAGCUCACAGAAGAAGAUUUACAAGAGAUUUGUGAUGUGAUCCCCAUUAAUGAGGUAGCAGGCGCUCGUAUGCCGGAUGGUUUAAGUCAUCUGACGUGGAAGUUUGCUAACACACCACCAAAGGAUAGCAAGAUUUCAACUUAAAUUAAACUGAACGAUGGAUGCAAAGUCUGCAGCAGAAUAUGAUGUUUUUGGUGAAUGGACUCUCUCCAUCAACGGAAACUAUUGAAAGACUAGAAGUUUGUGUUGAAAAGUUAGUAAGCUUUGGAUACAAUAAUGAAGGGCUGUAGUUGGCAUUGUAGCUUUGCCGUUGAAUGCUUAUCAGAGAAAGAAUGCAUUUACUUGUAUUGUUUUUCUGUCUGUGCUUUGUUGGUAAUAAUCCCCAAUGCUUAUGGUUGUCAACAGCAAAGGUUAAGAUGCUGUAUAAGAACUAUGUUUUUAUUUAGUGCUCUAAUAAUAUAAUUCAUCUUGGUCUCAUCUUUUUUCUCAUUUUAACUUAGAUAUCUAUACAUUUUCGUAAGUGAUUUCUGUAAUAAAUUAAACCUAAAGCAUAAACACAAAAGAUAAAUUAACAAAAUAUAUAUACAUUAAAAAGAGAAAACAACUAAAUUUUAUUGAUGUGAUUUUUUUAGUAUAUACAACACAAUUGAGAUGAAAUAAGUACGACUUUUAUUAUAUACACGUGAUCAAAAAAUCAUGCCAUGACUCAACUUCUCUUAUAUAUAUGGCUCAACCGAAACUCGUGAUCAACAAAUGACCUCGUUAGUAUUUUUAGUAUCUUAGCAUGAUGAAGCAUAUUAGUCACGUAACGAACGUCGUAUAAGCAAUAUAUGAUACAUCAACUUGAUCAAAAUCUCACGUCAAUAUUCUUAACAAUGAAAUUUAAUGGUGUUAAUAUUAAAAAUUUAAGUUAAUAAAUUGGAAAAGUACAAUAACUUAAUUUACAUGAAUUAUUAUUCAAAAUUAAAUCCAUAUUGCAUAAUUUUACAUUUUAGAUUCACCUUUUGUUGAAAUGCCAAGUGACAAGCUCCUAUUGAACAAUAACCUUCUGCCCUUCAGUUAAAAGUUGUUUACCUCUUUCCUUCCCGUCAAUCUCAAGUUUCCAAACCUUUUCCAACUUCCAACACAUUCAUCUUUAGCUGGUUGAACUUAAAGUUAAGCUAUUUGGAUUUAACUUUCUUUCUUAGAUGGGUGAACUCAAGAAGUUGGUGGAAGAAGGGAAAAUAAAGUACAUUGGUUUAUCUGAAGCUAGCCCUGAAACUAUAAAGAGAGCACAUGCGGUUCAUCCCAUAACUGCAGUACAAAUGGAAUGGUCGCUUUGGACUCGUGAAAUUGAGGAAGAAAUAGUCCCCCUUUGCAGGUUUCUGCUUGUAUCUUGAAUCAUUAGAAGUUAGAAAAAGUAAAGGUUACUUGAAAUUCGAAGUUCAAACUCUAAACUAGAUAGUCAUUUUCAUUUCCCAAGUUACAUGUUGUUUGAGUACUGGACUUGAGACUCAAUAAACUGAGGCUAUCAGCAAUUACUCCUUGUACUGCUGCAAGCCAAAGCAUGAGAAAUGCCUAUUUAAAUGUGGUCACCUAUGCAGGCAACUGGGAAUUGGGAUUGUUCCAUACAGCCCUCUUGGUCAUGGUUUCUUUGGUGGCAGAGCAGUUGAGGAAAGUGUGCCCGCAAAUAGUGUUCUGGUACGGGAACUCAUCUAUUUUUGGCUUUAACCUAUCCUUAAUCUUGUCUAAUGACAAGCCUUCAAACUGUUAGCUUGGUUGACCGAUUGCCAACUUCUACAGGGAAUUCUCCCAAGGUUUCAAAGCGAAAACUUGGAAAGAAACAAGAUCUUAUAUCUGAAAGUAAAGAAGUUGGCUGAGAAGCAUGGAUGUACCCCUGCACAACUUGCACUUGCCUGGGUUCUUCAUCAAGGAGAUGAUGUAGUACCUAUUCCUGGUAAGUCCACGUUCUGCAAUUGUCAACAUCCACUAUUAUCUUCUUGAUAGCCUGCAGAUAUUUCAACAAAAAAGACCCUUUUUCACAUUUUGUAGGAACAACCAAGAUCAAAAAUCUUGAUAGCAACAUUGAUUCACU